AGGAAUAUUGGUCAAUGGGCGUAAGCCUGAACCAGCCAAGUCGCGUGAGGGAGGACGGCCCUACGGGUUGUAAACCUCUUUUGCCGGGGGACAAACGGCGGCACGCGUGCCGUCCUGAGGGUACCCGGAGAAAAAGCCUCGGCUAACUCCGUGCCAGCAGCCGCGGUAAUACGGAGGAUGCGAGCGUUAUCCGGAUUUAUUGGGUUUAAAGGGAGCGUAGGCGGGUUGUUAAGUCAGUUGUGAAAGUUUGCGGCUCAACCGUAAAAUUGCAGUUGAUACUGGCAUCCUUGAGUACAGUAGAGGUAGGCGGAAUUCGUGGUGUAGCGGUGAAAUGCUUAGAUAUCACGAAGAACUCCGAUUGCGAAGGCAGCCUGCUGGACUGUAACUGACGCUGAUGCUCGAAAGUGUGGGUAUCAAACAG
Molecule: ribosomal RNA, 421 nt
Filed under: uncultured bacterium
Lineage: Bacteria
Description: bacterial SSU rRNA
Rfam family: Bacterial small subunit ribosomal RNA
Source: RNAcentral